This 538-nucleotide ribosomal RNA is filed under the name uncultured bacterium. RNAcentral's name for it is "bacterial SSU rRNA". It matches the Rfam family "Bacterial small subunit ribosomal RNA", at positions 771 to 1297 of the family's 1533-position model. The record is from RNAcentral.
ACCCAAUAGAUACCCAGGUAGUCUACGCCGUAAACGAUGCGCACUAGGUUCGAGGGUCCCUGACGACUCUCGAGCCGAAAAAUAAAAAAACGAUAAGUGCGCCGCCUGGGGAGUACGGCCGCAAGGCUAAAACUCAAAGGAAUUGACGGGGGCUCACACAAGCGGUGGAGCAUGUGGAUCAAUUCGAAGCAACGCGAAGAACCUUACCUGGGUUUGACAUGCACGGAUGCCGUCCAUGAAAGUGGAGCCGGCUGCCUUCGGGUGAAACGUGUACAGGUGCUGCAUGGCUGUCGUCAGCUCGUGCUGUGAAGUGUCGGGUUUAAGUCCCUUAACGAGCGAAACCCUUAUCUCUAGUUGCCAACGGGUCAUGCCGGGAACUCUAGUGAGACUGCCGGCGUUAAGCCGGAGGAAGGUGGGGAGUGACGUCAAGUCAUCAUGGCUUAUGCCAGGGUGUCACACGUGCUACAAUGGGUCGGUACAGAGCGAAGCAAAGACCGCGAGGUAGAGCAAAUACGCAGAAACGACUCCUCAGUUCGGA